This is a non-coding RNA of Schizosaccharomyces pombe (fission yeast), 490 nucleotides long. The record is from the annotation of a GenBank genome assembly. NCBI's taxonomy places the organism in Eukaryota, Fungi, Ascomycota, Schizosaccharomycetes, Schizosaccharomycetales, Schizosaccharomycetaceae.
CAGCAUCUUCAACAUUAAUGAUUCGUUAGUAAAUUAAUUAAAGAAUAGUAUAUAAUUUCGUCUUACUGCACUGUUUGGAAAAGAAAGAAGCCAAUGCAACUUGAAGAAAUAAUAGAAGAAGCUCUAAGGAAAUAAAUAAUAAUAGGGUACGUUGGAAUGAAUUAGUUGCUUAUACGUUAAGUUUCUACUUGUGGAUGCCCCUUAAGGAAAUAGUUUGAUCCUUCCGAAAAAUGUUAACAUUUCAAGUGUAUCAAAAUGCCAGAAAGUAAAAAUCGCCAAAAAAAAAGAGCUAGACUGUACAAAUCACCAGGAUAAGGAGAUUUAGGUAAUGAAAAACAGGGUUUCAAAUAUGAUAAAGCUGUACACCCGGUGUGAGACAAAGAAAUAUAUAGUUUAAUAAUAAUAUAACGAAUUAUCAAGUGUGCAAUUUUUUUGACAUAGGUUCUACCGUGAAUUUGGUAUGACAAGUAGAACAAUGCACCCGUGGUUC